RNAcentral lists this ribosomal RNA (253 nucleotides) under uncultured bacterium. RNAcentral's name for it is "partial 16S ribosomal RNA". It matches the Rfam family "Bacterial small subunit ribosomal RNA", at positions 524 to 776 of the family's 1533-position model. The record is from RNAcentral.
UACGAGAGGUCCUAGCGUUAGUCGGAAUCACUGGGCUUAAAGGGUGCGUAGGCGGGCUUGUAAGUGUUUUGUGAAAUCCCACGGCUCAACCGUGGAAUCGCAGGGCAUACUGCAAGCCUCGAGGAAGCUAGAGGCCGGUGGAACGAUAGGUGGAGCGGUGGAAUGCGUAGAUAUCGUUUGGAACGCCAAUGGUGAAAACAGCUCGCUGGGGAUGUGCCGACGCUGAGAUACGAAAGCCAGGGGAGCGAACGGG